Molecule: ribosomal RNA, 398 nt
Filed under: uncultured bacterium
Lineage: Bacteria
Description: bacterial SSU rRNA
Rfam family: Bacterial small subunit ribosomal RNA
Source: RNAcentral
GGAAUAUUGGACAAUGGGCGAAAGCCUGAUCCAGCAAUGCCGCGUGAGUGAUGAAGGCCUUAGGGUUGUAAAGCUCUUUUACCAGGGAUGAUAAUGACAGUACCUGGAGAAUAAGCUCCGGCUAACUCCGUGCCAGCAGCCGCGGUAAUACGGAGGGAGCUAGCGUUGUUCGGAAUUACUGGGCGUAAAGGGCUCGUAGGCGGCCAACUAAGUCAUACGUGAAAUCCCUCAGCUUAACUGGGGAACUGCGUGUGAUACUGGAUGGCUUGGAUUUGGGAGAGGGAUGCGGAAUUCCAGGUGUAGCGGUGAAAUGCGUAGAUAUCUGGAGGAACACCGGUGGCGAAGGCGGCAUCCUGGACCAAUAUUGACGCUGAGGAGCGAAAGCUAGGGGAGCAAAC